GCCGGGGUGCCCGAGCGGACUAAGGGGGUAGGCUCGAGACCUACUGCCCCUCUGGGGCACGCGGGUUCGAAUCCCGCCCCCGGCG
Molecule: transfer RNA, 85 nt
Filed under: Sulfolobus sp.
Lineage: Archaea; Thermoproteati; Thermoproteota; Thermoprotei; Sulfolobales; Sulfolobaceae
Also listed under: 3 other names
Description: tRNA-Ser
Rfam family: tRNA
About the family: Transfer RNA (tRNA) molecules are approximately 80 nucleotides in length. Their secondary structure includes four short double-helical elements and three loops (D, anti-codon, and T loops).
Source: RNAcentral